GCCCGGGUGGUGGAAUUGGUAGACACAAGGGACUUAAAAUCCCUUGGACCUUUGGUCCGUGCGGGUUCAAUUCCCGCCCCGGGCACCA
RNAcentral lists this transfer RNA (88 nucleotides) under Spirochaetes bacterium ADurb.Bin218. RNAcentral's name for it is "tRNA-Leu". It matches the Rfam family "tRNA". Rfam says of the family: Transfer RNA (tRNA) molecules are approximately 80 nucleotides in length. Their secondary structure includes four short double-helical elements and three loops (D, anti-codon, and T loops). Further hydrogen bonds mediate the characteristic L-shaped molecular structure. tRNAs have two regions of fundamental functional importance: the anti-codon, which is responsible for specific mRNA codon recognition, and the 3' end, to which the tRNAs corresponding amino acid is attached (by aminoacyl-tRNA synthetases). tRNAs cope with the degeneracy of the genetic code in two manners: having more than one tRNA (with a specific anti-codon) for a particular amino acid; and 'wobble' base-pairing, i.e. permitting non-standard base-pairing at the 3rd anti-codon position. The record is from RNAcentral. Lineage: Bacteria; Pseudomonadati; Spirochaetota. RNAcentral also lists the same sequence under 1 other name.